CCUACGGGAGGCAGCAGUGGGGAAUAUUGGACAAUGGGCGAAAGCCUGAUCCAGCAAUGCCGCGUGAGUGAUGAAGGCCUUCGGGUCGUAAAGCUCUUUUACCAGGGAUGAUAAUGACAGUACCUGGAGAAUAAGCUCCGGCUAACUCCGUGCCAGCAGCCGCGGUAAUACGGAGGGAGCUAGCGUUGUUCGGAAUUACUGGGCGUAAAGAGUACGUAGGCGGUUAUUCAAGUCAGAGGUGAAAGCCCGGGGCUCAACCCCGGAACUGCCUUUGAAACUAGAUAACUAGAGUCUUGGAGAGGUUAGUGGAAUUCCGAGUGUAGAGGUGAAAUUCGUAGAUAUUCGGAAGAACACCAGUGGCGAAGGCGACUAACUGGACAAGUACUGACGCUGAGGUACGAAAGCGUGGGGAGCAAACAGGAUUAGAUACCCUGGUAGUCCACGCCGUAAACGAUGAUAACUAGUUGUUCGGUCACUUGGUGACUGAGUGACGCAGCUAACGCAUUAAGUUAUCCGCCUGGGGAGUACGGUCGCAAGNUUAAAACUCAAAUGAAUUGACGGCUGAGACGNGCGAGACGACGACGAGGAGAG
This 591-nucleotide ribosomal RNA is filed under the name uncultured bacterium. Its description in RNAcentral is "bacterial SSU rRNA". It matches the Rfam family "Bacterial small subunit ribosomal RNA", at positions 338 to 945 of the family's 1533-position model. The record is from RNAcentral.